CCUACGGGAGGCAGCAGUGGAGAAUAUUAGACAAUGGGCGCAAGCCUGAUCCAGCCAUGCCGCGUGAGUGAUGAAGGCCCUAGGGUUGUAAAGCUCUUUUGUGCGGGAAGAUAAUGACGGUACCGCAAGAAUAAGCCCCGGCUAACUUCGUGCCAGCAGCCGCGGUAAU
This 169-nucleotide ribosomal RNA is filed under the name uncultured Alphaproteobacteria bacterium. RNAcentral describes it as "partial 16S ribosomal RNA". It matches the Rfam family "Bacterial small subunit ribosomal RNA", at positions 338 to 524 of the family's 1533-position model. Lineage: Bacteria; Pseudomonadati; Pseudomonadota; Alphaproteobacteria. The record is from RNAcentral.